This 253-nucleotide ribosomal RNA is filed under the name uncultured bacterium. RNAcentral describes it as "partial 16S ribosomal RNA". It matches the Rfam family "Bacterial small subunit ribosomal RNA", at positions 524 to 776 of the family's 1533-position model. The record is from RNAcentral.
UACAGAGGUCUCAAGCGUUGUUCGGAUUCAUUGGGCGUAAAGGGUGUGUAGGUGGCGCCGUAAGUCGGGUGUGAAAUUUCGGAGCUUAACUCCGAAACUGCAUUCGAUACUGCGGUGCUUGAGGACUGGAGAGGAGACUGGAAUUCAUGGUGUAGCAGUGAAAUGCGUAGAGAUCAUGAGGAGGACCAGUGGCGAAGGCGGGUCUCUGGACAGUUCCUGACACUGAGACACGAAAGCCAGGGGAGCAAACGGG